RNAcentral lists this ribosomal RNA (454 nucleotides) under uncultured eukaryote. Its description in RNAcentral is "SSU rRNA". It matches the Rfam family "Eukaryotic small subunit ribosomal RNA", at positions 433 to 889 of the family's 1831-position model. The record is from RNAcentral.
CGCGCAAAUUACCCACUCGCGACACGCGGAGGUAGUGACGAAAAAUAACAAUACGGGACUCAUUCGAGGCCCCGUAAUUGGAAUGAGUACACUUUAAAUCCUUUUAACGAGGAUCCAUUGGAGGGCAAGUCUGGUGCCAGCAGCCGCGGUAAUUCCAGCUCCAAUAGCGUAUAUUAAAGUUGUUGCAGUUAAAAAGCUCGUAGUUGGAUCUCGGGUCCAGGCUCGCGGUUCGCCUCGCGGCGAUCACUGCCCGUCCUGACCUACCUCCCGGUUUUCCCUUGGUGCUCUUCGCUGAGUGCUUCGGGUGGCCGGAACGUUUACUUUGAAAAAAUUAGAGUGCUCAAAGCAGGCGGACCGCCUGAAUAAUCGCGCAUGGAAUAAUGGAAUAGGACCUCGGUUCUAUUUUGUUGGUUUUCGGAACUCGAGGUAAUGAUUAAGAGGGACAGACGGGGGC